RNAcentral lists this ribosomal RNA (252 nucleotides) under uncultured bacterium. RNAcentral describes it as "partial 16S ribosomal RNA". It matches the Rfam family "Bacterial small subunit ribosomal RNA", at positions 524 to 776 of the family's 1533-position model. The record is from RNAcentral.
UACGAAGGGGGCUAGCGUUGCUCGGGAAUUACUGGGCGUAAAGGGCGCGUAGGCGGAUGUUUUAAGUCAGAGGUGAAAGCCCCAGGGCUCAACCUUGGAACUGCCUUUGAUACUGGGCAUCUUGAGUAUGGGAGAGGUGAGUGGAACUCCGAGUGUAGAGGUGAAAUUCGUAGAUAUCGGAAGAACACCUGUGGCGAAAGCGGCUCACUGGACCACACUACGUGAGGCGCGAAAGCUAGGGGAGCAAACAGG